This is a long non-coding RNA of Papaver somniferum (opium poppy), 1833 nucleotides long. RefSeq lists it as uncharacterized. The record is from RefSeq and is a predicted model, not a curated record. The transcript is spliced from 3 exons. Lineage: Eukaryota; Viridiplantae; Streptophyta; Magnoliopsida; Ranunculales; Papaveraceae.
CACAAAGCCUUUCUCUGAGUCUUGUAUUCAUAUCUAAUUAGAGGAUUCAGAUUUAUUGGGUUUGACAGCUAAAUUUUGGUUUUUUUAUCUUGUUCUACUUCUUUUCCAUGUUGUCAACUUCAAUAAUUUCUUCAGGUACCCUCAAUUUAGUCCAUCAGCGAAGGUCAAUUCACAUAAGUUAACCUAAACUCGAUUCAAUCUUCAUCAAAACCUAAAUUUGGAUACCAUUUAGCACUUGCAGCAAGAUUCAACAUGGAAACCUAAAAUCGACAUCAACUACAUCAGUUCUUGAAGAGGAUUUGAUAAGGUUCAAUAUCAGCAAAAUCAAUUCAUUCGAAAGAUAAGUUUAUUCUUUUACUGUAUUUUCAAUUCAUUCGAAAAACUUAAUUAAUCGAUUUUGAAUUGGUCUGCAACUUAUGAGAACUGUUUCUUAAGGUUCUGAAAAACCUAAAAACCCAUCCAUUUGAUUUGAUUUAAUUUGUUGAGAAGAAAUGAAAUAAAGUAAAUGCUCCAAUAAUUCGGUGAGUUGGGUACCAAUUGAUUUCAUUAUGAAGAUGAAUUUGGGGUUUUUCUCGCUAUCUGGUGUUGUCUGUUUUGAUAGAGUUUCUGGUAAUUGUGGAAUUGAAGCUGAAGUGGUGCAGAUGGUUUUGUUGUUGAUGAUUAUCGGUAUGAGAUGAUUUGAGCUCAAUAUCUGGUGUUGGUGGGGUUCUAGAACUGAGACCCGAGAUAAAUGAGAACUCAGAUUUGUUGGUUGUAGCACAUCAGCAGCAAAAUAAGGGUGUAACUAUGAAUUUAAGAUGGAUUCUCCUUUGGACCUGGAUUUGUCCAAAAAAUUUGGUAAGUUACUAAUUUUGAUGUUCCUGGUUGCCGUUGCUGCCACAAAAAUUGGAAAGGCUGGAGCUGUAGAUAAAGAACUCCAAAAGCUUAAGAAUAAGCUGGAGAUGAUCGCGGCUGUAACAUCGGAUGCCGAAAAGAAGCAGGUAUAAGCAAACACCACCCAAUCGAAGGGGGUGGCUACGAUGUAUGCUGCAGCAGGGAGGAUAUAGCUAAUAAAGUGAAAUAUUGCAUCAACCAAAUAGGCAGCCGUGCACUUUCUCUUCUUUUCUAAGAAGUAAUUCCUGGUUUUCUCCUUUUUAACUGAUGUGUGGUUCUGGUGGAACGGAUAUGGAGUAGAAGGAGAUGGAUGCUGAGAAAAUGGGAAUUGCAGUUGCAGUUUGUUAGUUGCAGCUUAAGAGAAGGUUGGUGCUGUUACUGCAAUGGCUGAUGAUACGCAAUACUGAAAUGAAAUUGGUUGCUGCAUCGAGCUGGUGAACGAAUGAACAAUGUAGAUGAAUGCUUAGGUUUGCAGGGGUGCCGUUAUUCGUGAGAAAUUGGUUUUGAUGAAUUUUUGAAGAUGAGAAUGGCAGAGAAAAGGUACCGGAGAUGCUGAUACAUCCGUCAACAGUAAUGGAGAAACAAGGUUUGCAGAGUUUCUGAUGUCAAGACUAAAUGGUGGUUGCUUAAUAGAAAAUUCGUGACAGAAUUUUGAAGCCAAUUCAUGAGUGACAUGUGUCAAACAGUAGUUGAUGUGAUGACCUGUAUUACAUAGUCAAAACCGAGUCAAUAUGCAGACUCGGCGAGUUAAAUGGGAACUCAGUGAGUUGGAAAGGUUUUAAGGAUCGAUAAGUCUUUUUAUCCAAACUUAACGGAGACAAAAAGGUGGAUAACUGCCGUUUAACGUUUUUUCAUUGUACUGGUCAAAAUCGACAUAGAUUUGUGAACUUGAAAAAAACGGGCCUAAAAUUGUAACCCUCAAAAAAAAAAAAAAAACAGGCCUAGAUCUGUGUUUUAUCC